AUUUAUAUAGUUUAACAAAAACAUUACAUUUUCACUGUAAAAAUAAAAAUUUAUUUUUUAUAGAUA
RNAcentral lists this transfer RNA (66 nucleotides) under Propsilocerus paradoxus. RNAcentral's name for it is "tRNA-Glu". It matches the Rfam family "tRNA". From Rfam's summary of the family: Transfer RNA (tRNA) molecules are approximately 80 nucleotides in length. The record is from RNAcentral. Lineage: Eukaryota; Metazoa; Arthropoda; Insecta; Diptera; Chironomidae.